GGAUGUAGCCAAGUGGUAAGGCAACAGACUUUGACUCUGUCAUGCGCUGGUUCGAGUCCAGCCAUC
RNAcentral lists this transfer RNA (66 nucleotides) under chicken gut metagenome. It matches the Rfam family "tRNA". From Rfam's summary of the family: Transfer RNA (tRNA) molecules are approximately 80 nucleotides in length. Their secondary structure includes four short double-helical elements and three loops (D, anti-codon, and T loops). Further hydrogen bonds mediate the characteristic L-shaped molecular structure. tRNAs have two regions of fundamental functional importance: the anti-codon, which is responsible for specific mRNA codon recognition, and the 3' end, to which the tRNAs corresponding amino acid is attached (by aminoacyl-tRNA synthetases). tRNAs cope with the degeneracy of the genetic code in two manners: having more than one tRNA (with a specific anti-codon) for a particular amino acid; and 'wobble' base-pairing, i.e. permitting non-standard base-pairing at the 3rd anti-codon position. The record is from RNAcentral.